RNA transcript from Fukomys damarensis (Damara mole-rat), 246 nucleotides. RefSeq lists it as uncharacterized. The transcript is spliced from 3 exons. The record is from RefSeq and is a predicted model, not a curated record. Lineage: Eukaryota; Metazoa; Chordata; Mammalia; Rodentia; Bathyergidae.
GAGGAUUCAGGACAGUUGAACAUUCCUGGACAUCACCGGGGACCUAAUCCUGUCUUGGUCUUAGUUUUCUGCCAACACUGAAAGAAGAUCUGAGGGAUCAUCACAGAAAUGGGGUACAUUUUGGAAUGAAGAAGUAUUUUCGGGACCAGACAAGGGACAAGCAUCCCGCACGGACUCUGAGACCUGACUCCAGGAGCCCUGGUCAGAGGCUCCUUGUUCUCCACCCUGAAGCCCCCCGACGCCGUG